Molecule: transfer RNA, 73 nt
Filed under: Blautia producta
Lineage: Bacteria; Bacillati; Bacillota; Clostridia; Lachnospirales; Lachnospiraceae
Also listed under: 2 other names
Description: tRNA-Asn
Rfam family: tRNA
About the family: Transfer RNA (tRNA) molecules are approximately 80 nucleotides in length. Their secondary structure includes four short double-helical elements and three loops (D, anti-codon, and T loops).
Source: RNAcentral
GGAUCUGUAGCUCAACUGGUAGAGCACUCGCCCGUUAAACGAGGUGUUAUAGGAUCAUGCCCUAUCAGAUCCA